RNAcentral lists this ribosomal RNA (414 nucleotides) under uncultured bacterium. RNAcentral's name for it is "bacterial SSU rRNA". It matches the Rfam family "Bacterial small subunit ribosomal RNA", at positions 505 to 916 of the family's 1533-position model. The record is from RNAcentral.
GUGUCAGCCGCCGCGGUAAGACGAACCAAGCGAACGUUAUUCGGAAUUACUGGGCUUAAAGCGCGUGUAGGCGGAUGACCACGUCAGUCGUUGAAAUCCCCCGGCUCAACCGGGGAACAGGCGCUGAUACGAGUUGUCUGGAGGUGGGUAGGGGAGACUGGAACUUCCGGUGGAGCGGUGAAAUGCGUUGAGAUCGGAAGGAACGCCCGCGGCGAAAGCGAGUCUCUGGACCCAUUCUGACGCUGAGACGCGAAAGCCAGGGGAGCAAACGGGAUUAGAUACCCCGGUAGUCCUGGCUGUAAACAUUGGGCACUGGGUAGUGGAACCGCCGAUGGUUUCACUGCCGCAGGGAAACCGUGAAGUGCCCCGCCUGGGGAGUAUGGUCGCAAGGCUGAAACUCAAAUGAAUUGGCGG